Molecule: long non-coding RNA, 1607 nt
Organism: Bombus terrestris (buff-tailed bumblebee)
Lineage: Eukaryota; Metazoa; Arthropoda; Insecta; Hymenoptera; Apidae
Exons: 3
Source: RefSeq, a predicted model, not a curated record
GCUUCUGCAAUCAUCGCCUGUUCAUACUUAAACACGAACUGAAGAGCAACUUGUGAAAUUUAUUUAAAAAAGAAAAAAAUUUGUUCAAGAUAUCCAUCAGAAGAUUUUCAGCUGAUUUCUACAAUGAUUUCAACGAGAAGACUCAUCAUUAUCUUCAUUGCAACUCUAGCUAUGUUUGCGGCCUUAAUAAAUGCAAAACCAGCAACGGUCCGCCCAGCAGGAGCCAUAACAGCGUAUCCUAUACCACAGCGACCACCAUACGCACCAAAUCCAUGGGUUUAUCCAAAACCCACGGUCGAACCAAUUCAUCAAUGAAAAUCAUUAAGUUGGAAGAUCUAGGUGGAAGAAGAAAUAUGUAGCAAGGAAAAAAUAUUUAAUAUGAAUAAAAAUCUGCAUUUUAAUAAGUACCAUAUGAAUUCAAUAAAAGUCAAUAGCCAGUUGGCUAGAGGAAGAUUGCAAAUGAAACGUGUUAACGCACUGUAAACUAUAAGUCAUUCAUGAGUUAACCAUGGUCAGGUACAAUUACUAAGCAGACCACAUGUGUUGUAUAUGAAGAGCAAAUGAAAUAAAAGAAGAGAGAGAGAGAGAGACAGAUAGACAGACAGAAAGAGAGAGAGCAACUUCUCGGGUACGUGUAAUAAUAUCGGGUGUCCAAUUCGUCAGUCAUUGCUUUGUAAAAAGUAUUACAGACUAUUGAAAACAAUCAAGCGAUACACAAUUUUAUUUGGUUUGCGUUUGGUUAUAUAUAGAAGUAUAGAUUGUAUAAUGUAUACAGAAUGUUAUGUAACUGCAAAUAAUUUAUAAUCCAGUAAAAUCCAAACAACAAAAUGUAUAAUAAAAAUUGACUCACACUGUUCAAAAAAACAAUGUACAAAAUUAUAACAAAAAAUUAUUCAAUUUACAAGAAAACAAUUAUUAGUAUUUAACGCGUUAAUUUUUCUACAAUCCCAUUUUCCUAAUAUAAUUACAUAUUCAUGUCAUUCCAAAAAGUUACUUUCUACUCUUGCGCGAAACGCUAUCGAUAACUAAAACGCAUUAUCAAUUUCGAGAAAGUGUCUAACAGUUUCCAAACAAUGAAAAUACGAAUCUUGUCGUAAAAAUAAAGACUUACCUUUCGAUGAACUGCUCCUUUGUUCUUCAUUUCAAACGUACCGAAGGUGUUGUAAAAAGAUGCUGCUAAUGAUGGCUUCUACUCCUCGCUGAUUCUUUAGCCAUCUUGAAAAUGACAAACGUUUGAUAAUUAUACAGGGUGUUCAGAAAAAAACAUUCAAUAUUCAAAUAUAUGGUACAUAUGACACACUAUACUGAGCAAGAAAACUUUCGUAAAAUUUUCGAGAUGGUUCGCGACUUUAUAAAAUGUCAAGGGUAUAUAGGAAUGAAAAGAGGACAUGUGGGACACUUUCUAUAAAUAUAGUAGUAAGUAAUCAGUAGUAAGUCAAUUAUGCUGCUAAGAUAAAAAAUACUCAUAUCUCGGAAAUGGUUAAAUUUUCGUCCUAUGUUUGCUAAAGUAUUUUUACUCAGUAUGGUAUUUUCUAUGUAUCAUAUAAAUAUUAGAUGGAUUCUUCGAAUGUAUAUUUCCUUCAGUUUUCUGUGUAAUAAUUUAUGAA